UACGUAGGGGGCAAGCGUUAUCCGGAUUUACUGGGUGUAAAGGGAGCGCAGGCGGCGUGGCAAGUCAGAUGUGAAAACCCAGGGCCCAACCCUGGGACUGCAUUUGAAACUGCCAUACUGGAGUGCCGGAGAGGUAAGUGGAAUUCCUAGUGUAGCGGUGAAAUGCGUAGAUAUCGCGCAGAACUCCGAUUGCGAAGGCAGCGUACCGGCGCCAGACUGACGCUGAGGCACGAAAGCGUGGGGAUCGAACAGG
This 253-nucleotide ribosomal RNA is filed under the name uncultured Eubacteriales bacterium. RNAcentral's name for it is "uncultured Clostridiales bacterium partial 16S ribosomal RNA". It matches the Rfam family "Bacterial small subunit ribosomal RNA", at positions 524 to 776 of the family's 1533-position model. The record is from RNAcentral. Lineage: Bacteria; Bacillati; Bacillota; Clostridia; Eubacteriales.